UGGUAGUUGUAUUGUCGUUUCAGAAAC
RNAcentral lists this non-coding RNA (27 nucleotides) under Homo sapiens (human). Lineage: Eukaryota; Metazoa; Chordata; Mammalia; Primates; Hominidae. The record is from RNAcentral.